GAAAGUUGGGGGCUCGAAGACGAUCGGAUACUGUCCUAGUCUUAACCAUAAACGAUGCCGACCAGGGAUCAGCAGAUGUUGCUUUUUAGGACUCCGCUGGCACCUUAUGAGAAAUCAAAGUUUUUGGGU
This 129-nucleotide ribosomal RNA is filed under the name Brassica napus (rape). Its description in RNAcentral is "rRNA SSU_rRNA_eukarya". It matches the Rfam family "Eukaryotic small subunit ribosomal RNA", at positions 985 to 1112 of the family's 1831-position model. The record is from RNAcentral. Lineage: Eukaryota; Viridiplantae; Streptophyta; Magnoliopsida; Brassicales; Brassicaceae.